RNAcentral lists this unclassified non-coding RNA (240 nucleotides) under soil metagenome. RNAcentral's name for it is "partial contains 5.8S ribosomal RNA, internal transcribed spacer 2, and large subunit ribosomal RNA". The record is from RNAcentral.
AACGCACGAGACCUGCGGACCUGCGGAAGGAUCAUUACCGAGUUAUCAACUCCCAAACCCCUGUGAACAUACCCGAACGUUGCCUCGGCGGGACCGCCCCGGCGCCCCUAGCGGCCCGGAACCAGGCGCCCGCCGGAGGACCCAAACUCUUGCUUUAAACAGUGGCAUACUCUCUGAGUCUCACAAACAAAAAAUAAAUCAAAACUUUCAACAACGGAUCUCUAGAUCGGAAGAGCACAC